Molecule: ribosomal RNA, 433 nt
Filed under: uncultured bacterium
Lineage: Bacteria
Description: partial 16S ribosomal RNA
Rfam family: Bacterial small subunit ribosomal RNA
Source: RNAcentral
AACGAACGCUGGCGGCAUGCCUAACACAUGCAAGUCGAACGAGACCUUCGGGUCUAGUGGCGCACGGGUGCGUAACACGUGGGAAUCUGCCCUUUGCUUCGGAAUAACAGUUAGAAAUGACUGCUAAUACCGGAUGAUGUCGAAAGACCAAAGAUUUAUCGGCAAAGGAUGAGCCCGCGCAGGAUUAGGUAGUUGGUGGGGUAAAGGCCUACCAAGCCGACGAUCCUUAGCUGGUCUGAGAGGAUGAUCAGCCACACUGGGACUGAGACACGGCCCAGACUCCUACGGGAGGCAGCAGUGGGGAAUAUUGGACAAUGGGCGAAAGCCUGAUCCAGCAAUGCCGCGUGAGUGAUGAAGGCCUUAGGGUUGUAAAGCUCUUUUACCAGGGAUGAUAAUGACAGUACCUGGAGAAUAAGCUCCGGCUAACUCCGUG